GUGGGGAAUCUUCCGCAAUGGACGAAAGUCUGACGGAGCAACGCCGCGUGAGUGAUGAAGAUCUUCGGAUUGUAAAACUCUGUUGUCAGGGACGAAUGUGCGAACGUUGAAUAAGCGUUUGUAUUGACGGUACCUGACGAGGAAGCCACGGCUAACUACGUGCCAGCAGCCGCGGUAAUACGUAGGUGGCAAGCGUUGUCCGGAAUUAUUGGGCGUAAAGAGCAUGUAGGCGGGCUUUUAAGUCCGACGUGAAAAUGCGGGGCUUAACCCCGUAUGGCGUUGGAUACUGGAAGUCUUGAGUGCAGGAGAGGAAAGGGGAAUUACCAGUGUAGCGGUGAAAUGCGUAGAUAUUGGGAGGAACACCAGUGGCGAAGGCGCCUUUCUGGACUGUGUCUGACGCUGAGAUGCGAAAGCCAGGGUAGCAAACGGGAUUAGAUACCCCAGUAGUCC
RNAcentral lists this ribosomal RNA (450 nucleotides) under uncultured bacterium. RNAcentral describes it as "partial 16S ribosomal RNA". It matches the Rfam family "Bacterial small subunit ribosomal RNA", at positions 354 to 796 of the family's 1533-position model. The record is from RNAcentral.